GAGGAAUAUUGGUCAAUGGACGAGAGUCUGAACCAGCCAAGUAGCGUGAAGGAUGACUGCCCUAUGGGUUGUAAACUUCUUUUAUACGGGAAUAAAGUGAGGCACGUGUGCCUUUUUGUAUGUACCGUAUGAAUAAGGAUCGGCUAACUCCGUGCCAGCAGCCGCGGUAAUACGGAGGAUCCGAGCGUUAUCCGGAUUUAUUGGGUUUAAAGGGAGCGUAGGCGGACGCUUAAGUCAGUUGUGAAAGUUUGCGGCUCAACCGUAAAAUUGCAGUUGAUACUGGGUGUCUUGAGUACAGUAGAGGCAGGCGGAAUUCGUGGUGUAGCGGUGAAAUGCUUAGAUAUCACGAAGAACUCCGAUUGCGAAGGCAGCUUGCUGGACUGUAACUGACGCUGAUGCUCGAAAGUGUGGGUAGUCAAACAGGAUUAGAUACCCUGGUAGUCCACACAGUAAACGAUGAAUACUCGCUGUUUGCGAUAUACAGUAAGCGGCCAAGCGAAAGCGUUAAGUAUUCCACCU
Molecule: ribosomal RNA, 519 nt
Filed under: uncultured bacterium
Lineage: Bacteria
Description: bacterial SSU rRNA
Rfam family: Bacterial small subunit ribosomal RNA
Source: RNAcentral